UAUUAGGUUGGCUUAAGAGUUUGUUCAAGAUUUUCUGUAAGAUGUUAUGAAAAACCUGAAUGAACUUUUGGGCCAACCCAAUACAU
Molecule: microRNA precursor, 86 nt
Filed under: Ovis aries (sheep)
Lineage: Eukaryota; Metazoa; Chordata; Mammalia; Artiodactyla; Bovidae
Description: miRNA (ENSOARG00000024382.1)
Source: RNAcentral